RNAcentral lists this long non-coding RNA (1209 nucleotides) under Oncorhynchus mykiss (rainbow trout). RNAcentral's name for it is "lncRNA (ENSOMYG00000056450.1)". Lineage: Eukaryota; Metazoa; Chordata; Actinopteri; Salmoniformes; Salmonidae. The record is from RNAcentral.
AUGCCCUGGACCUCGCAACAGGCAGCAUGCCCUGGACCUCGCAACAGGCAGCAUGCCCUGGACCUCGCAACAGGCAGCAUGCCCUGGACCUCGCAACAGGCAGCAUGCCCUGGACCUCGCAACAGGCAGCAUGCCCUGGACCUCGCAACAGGCAGCAUGCCCUGGACCUCGCAACAGGCAGCAUGCCCUGGACCUCGCAACAGGCAGCAUGCCCUGGACCUCGCAACAGGCAGCAUGCCCUGGACCUCGCAACAGGCAGCAUGCCCUGGACCUCGCAACAGGCAGCAUGCCCUGGACCUCGCAACAUGCAGCAUGCCCUGGACCUCGCAACAGGCAGCAUGCCCUGGACCUCGCAACAGGCAGCAUGCCCUGGACCUCGCAACAUGCAGCAUGCCCUGGACCUCGCAACAGGCAGCAUGCCCUGGACCUCGCAACAUGCAGCAUGCCCUGGACCUCGCAACAGGCAGCAUGCCCUGGACCUCGCAACAGGCAGCAUGCCCUGGACCUCGCAACAGGCAGCAUGCCCUGGACCUUGCAACAGGCAGCAUGCCCUGGACCUCGCAACAGGCAGCAUGCCCUGGACCUCGCAACAGGCAGCAUGCCCUGGACCUCGCAACAGGCAGCAUGCCCUGGACCUCGCAACAGGCAGCAUGCCCUGGACCUCGCAACAGGCAGCAUGCCCUGGACCUCGCAACAGGCAGCAUGCCCUGGACCUCGCAACAGGCAGCAUGCCCUGGACCUCGCAACAGGCAGCAUGCCCUGGACCUCGCAACAUGCAGCAUGCCCUGGACCUCGCAACAUGCAGCAUGCCCUGGACCUCGCAACAGGCAGCAUGCCCUGGACCUCGCAACAUGCAGCAUGCCCUGGACCUCGCAACAUGCAGCAUGCCCUGGACCUCGCAACAGGCAGCAUGCCCUGGACCUCGCAACAGGCAGCAUGCCCUGGACCUCGCAACAGGCAGCAUGCCCUGGACCUCGCAACAGGCAGCAUGCCCUGGACCUCGCAACAGGCAGCAUGCCCUGGACCUCGCAACAGGCAGCAUGCCCUGGACCUCGCAACAUGCAGCAUGCCCUGGACUACUGGAAGGUUGUGUUAACAACAAAGAUAUACACUUUAAAACAAGUAUGUUCCCUUGACUCGUUAAAAAAAUAUAGUAUAUUAUAUUUAUAUUAUAUAUUAUAUUUUUUAGAUACAGUAUAUUUACUGUAA